GCUGAAAAUCAAGAAACUCCGCCAGGACUACAAGAAAACUAAAGACUGGAACAAUAAAAGUGGUAACGACCGGAGGACCACUAAAUGGUUUGACCGCUUGGAUGCUUUGCUUGGGAGCAGACCAUCAUUCACGGGUACAGCAUCGAGCCUUGAUUCGGGCAGUAUGGCAUCGGAGGCCGCUCCAACGGCGAAUUUAGAGGGCGACAACGACGAAGGCGAGGAAAAUCAGCAACACUCGGUAUUGGAAACAAGCGAGGUUCUUGGCGUUGGAGAUCAGAGCUUGCUCGCUUGCUCGUCCCCCUUACCGGCAACCAAACGCAAAGGAAAGCGGACACAGGAUGCACUUUUCCUCGAGACCGUCCAGGCGU
Molecule: long non-coding RNA, 368 nt
Organism: Trematomus bernacchii (emerald rockcod)
Lineage: Eukaryota; Metazoa; Chordata; Actinopteri; Perciformes; Nototheniidae
Exons: 3
Source: RefSeq, a predicted model, not a curated record